GACGAACGCUGGCGGCGUGCCUAAUACAUGCAAGUCGAGCGAAGUUUUUCUGGUGCUUGCACUAGAAGAACUUAGCGGCGAACGGGUGAGUAACACGUAAAGAACCUGCCUCAUAGACAGGGACAACUAUUGGAAACGAUAGCUAAUACCGGAUAACAGCAUAAAUCGCAUGAUAUAUGUUUAAAAGUUGGUUUCGGCUAACACUAUGAGAUGGCUUUGCGGUGCAUUAGCUAGUUGGUGGGGUAAAGGCCUACCAAGGCGACGAUGCAUAGCCGACCUGAGAGGGUGAUCGGCCACACUGGGACUGAGACACGGCCCAGACUCCUACGGGAGGCAGCAGUAGGGAAUCUUCCGCAAUGGGCGAAAGCCUGACGGAGCAACGCCGCGUGAGUGAAGAAGGAUUUCGGUUCGUAAAGCUCUGUUGUUAGGGAAGAAUGAUUGUAUAGUAACUAUAUACAGUAGAGACGGUACCUAACCAGAAAGCCACGGCUAAUACGU
RNAcentral lists this ribosomal RNA (498 nucleotides) under Gemella sanguinis. RNAcentral describes it as "bacterial SSU rRNA". It matches the Rfam family "Bacterial small subunit ribosomal RNA", at positions 28 to 506 of the family's 1533-position model. Lineage: Bacteria; Bacillati; Bacillota; Bacilli; Caryophanales; Gemellaceae. The record is from RNAcentral.